AGUGAACGCUGGCGGUAGGCCUAACACAUGCAAGUCGAACGGCAGCACAGUAAGAGCUUGCUCUUACGGGUGGCGAGUGGCGGACGGGUGAGGAAUACAUCGGAAUCUACUUUUUCGUGGGGGAUAACGUAGGGAAACUUACGCUAAUACCGCAUACGACCUACGGGUGAAAGCAGGGGAUCUUCGGACCUUGCGCGAUUGAAUGAGCCGAUGUCGGAUUAGCUAGUUGGCGGGGUAAAGGCCCACCAAGGCGACGAUCCGUAGCUGGUCUGAGAGGAUGAUCAGCCACACUGGAACUGAGACACGGUCCAGACUCCUACGGGAGGCAGCAGUGGGGAAUAUUAGACAAUGGGCGCAAGCCUGAUCCAGCCAUACCGCGUGGGUGAAGAAGGCAUUCGGGUUGUAAAGCCCUUUUGUUGGGAAAGAAAAGCAGCAGGUUAAUACCCCGCUGUUCUGACGGUACCCAAAGAAUAAGCACCGGCUAACUUCGUG
Molecule: ribosomal RNA, 492 nt
Filed under: uncultured bacterium
Lineage: Bacteria
Description: partial 16S ribosomal RNA
Rfam family: Bacterial small subunit ribosomal RNA
Source: RNAcentral